This 99-nucleotide signal recognition particle RNA is filed under the name Nitrospirota bacterium. Its description in RNAcentral is "Nitrospirae bacterium signal recognition particle sRNA small type". It matches the Rfam family "Bacterial small signal recognition particle RNA". Rfam says of the family: The signal recognition particle (SRP) is a universally conserved ribonucleoprotein involved in the co-translational targeting of proteins to membranes. Archaeal SRP consists of a 7S RNA and homologues of the eukaryotic SRP19 and SRP54 proteins. In most bacteria, the SRP consists of a 4.5S RNA and the Ffh protein (a homologue of the eukaryotic SRP54 protein). Lineage: Bacteria; Pseudomonadati; Nitrospirota. The record is from RNAcentral.
GGUCAGGCGGCGCCGCGGCGGGGCCCUGCGAACCGGGUCAGGUCCUGGCGGAAGCAGCCCUAAGCAGACCGUCCCGGGUGCGGUGUCCGCCUGGCCAGA